Molecule: long non-coding RNA, 1197 nt
Organism: Sycon ciliatum
Lineage: Eukaryota; Metazoa; Porifera; Calcarea; Leucosolenida; Sycettidae
Exons: 2
Source: RefSeq, a predicted model, not a curated record
UUGGAAAGUGGAUUUUGAAUUGGCCAAUUGAACAGAAGCAGCAUUACGGACAUUGGUCAAUCAAAAUAACACAAAGGUCAACAAUGCUGGUAUGGGGAGCACUGUAGAGUACGAGUACGCUGGCCAACCUCUCGCCCACCCACUGUUUUCUUGCACUGGUGCAGGCACAGCAGUCAACAAUGACAAUAUCUAGGGUGCUAAUGGGCACACACGGUAUUCAGGAUUCUGCCUAAUGUUCCCACUUACUACCUCCUUAUCUCUUGUGGUGUGGCUGCUAAAACGCCCUGCUCCACUUGGCGGGGGGAUGGUUGAAAUCUUUCAGUUGCUGGUGGUGGUGUGACUUGGUUUGGCGAAAGGAGGCCUGGUCAUGUGACGACAAUACUGUGUCCCAUGACCAACUGUACCCCGUGGAUUGCCCAGUAGUGGCAUGCAGUGCAUCACUAUCACAGGGGAUCGGCCGGGGACGUUUAGCUGUGUUGGCGGUAUGCAGUGGGGGAGAUGUCCUAUCUACAUGGGUUGUCACCACCAAUCUGAUAGGUGAACCGGUUGCUAAUGUCAACAGGAAAGCACGUGGCUUUGGCAGAUGGGGUGGAUGACGUGCGUUGUAGCUGUCACAUGCAGUGGCGAUUCCUGGUCGUGUCCAGCACCUGUCACACAUACUCCUCACGUGCAGGAACGCCUUGCACGUUGCUGUCAUCUUGUCCUGCCUCUGAUCUGGCCUGCACAUUUCUUUUCUGGAUUUGCCCGACUAUGAUUGUCAGCAACAUUCUGUCUGCGCGCUCAUGUAUUGUGUUGCGUAGUCUGUGCUAUCUCCGUUUUCCUGAUCAAGUGGUGGAUAGGUGCUAAUGACGCAGUUUCAAUGUUCUCUAGAUCCCAAGGUAGAUCUUUACACCGUUUCAAUCGGUGUGCCUUGAAUGAGGAGGGCGUAUAGUGUACGUGCAGGUUCUGGGCAGGACUGUUGUUUCCUUUGCAUCCAAGCCUGAAUUUACAAUGGUGUGUUGGCCAACUGAUAUGUCCUGAGGCUAUAGUUGCAAUGGUUGCUUUUUUUGCUUAGAAGGAUUGGCAAGGUUCCAGUGAAUGAUCUCUUGCAGACAAUUAUUUGUUUGCAACUUUGUAGAUUGCAUAUGCUUUGUAGUGAUAGGGAAGAAGGUAGCAAUGGUUCUUGUUCAGUCCCAGCAAAAUGGUUCUGUACUGGUA